CCUCAGGUUUUUGGAGGAAGGUUCGUCCGCUCCAAGUUAGUCGGGAGCUAAGGUGAGGCCGGAAGGCGUAGCCGAUGCACAGACGGUAGAGAUUCCGUCACCACCAAAAGAGUUAAGCACAGGGACACAUUUGAAGUCUCAGAGCCGGGUGUUGGUUCCGGUAGAGAUCGAGGGAAAUUAGUACCGAAGUCUGAGAUGGAAGAUGGCGAGAAAAGCUGUGUGUAUUUCUGAGGUGCCCGUACCGCAAACCGACACAGGUAGGUAGGAAGAAGAUUCUAAGGCCAACGGGAGAAGGGUUGUUAAGGAACUCGGCAAAUUGACCCCGUAACUUCGGGAGAAGGGGUGCUCCAGAGAUGGAGCCGCAGAGAAUCGGCCCAAGCAACUGUUUACCAAAAACACAGGUUUGUGCUAAAUCGAAAGAUGACGUAUACGAGCUGACGCCUGCCCGGUGCUGGAAGGUUAAGAGGAGAUGUGCAAGCAUUGAAUCGAAGCCCCAGUGAACGGCGGCCGUAACUAUAACGGUCCUAAGGUAGCGAAAUUCCUUGUCAGGUAAGUUCUGACCCGCACGAAAGGCGUAAUGAUUUGGGCACUGUCUCAACAGCCCGCCCGGCGAAAUUGUAGUACCGGUGAAGAUGCCGGUUACCCGCGACAAGACGGAAAGACCCCAUGGAGCUUUACUGUAGCCUAAUAUUGGGUUUCGAUGUUGCAUGCACAGGAUAGAUGGGACACUGGGAAACAAUCGCUUUGGCGGUUGCGGAGUGGCCGUUGGGAUACCAUCCUUGCGAUAUUGGAAUUCUAACCUGCGGCUCUGAAUCGAGUCGGGGGACAUUGUUAGGUGGGCAGUUUGACUGGGGCGGUCGCCUCCUAAAGAGUAACGGAGGCGUUCAAAGGUUCGCUCAGCUUGAACGGAAAUCAAGCAAAAGAGUGCAAACGCAGAAGCGAGCCUAACUGCGAGACUGACGGGUCGAGCAGUAACGAAAGUUGGAGUUAGUGAUCCGGUGGUAUGUGAGUGGAAAUGCCAUCGCUCAACGGAUAAAAGUUACCCUGGGGAUAACAGGCUGAUCUCCCCCAAGAGUCCACAUCGACGGGGAGGUUUGGCACCUCGAUGUCGGCUCAUCGCAUCCUGGGGCUGUAUUCGGUCCCAAGGGUUUGGCUGUUCGCCAAUUAAAGCGGUACGCGAGCUGGGUUCAGAACGUCGUGAGACAGUUCGGUCCCUAUCUGUCGUGGGCGCAGGAUAUUUGAUGGGAGCUGUUCCUAGUACGAGAGGACCGGAGCGGACGUACCUCUGGCGCACCAGUUGUUCUGCCAAGAGCAUAGCUGGGCAACUAUGUACGGAUCGGAUAAACGCUGAAAGCAUCUAAGCGUGAAGCCGACCCAAAGAUAAGAUAUCCCACUGAUUCGAUCAGGUAAGAUCCCUUGAAGACUACAAGGUUGAUAGGCACAAUGUGUAAGUGGAGUGAUCCAUUCAGCAAGCGUGUACUAAUAGAUCGAGGGCUUGACCAC
Molecule: ribosomal RNA, 1503 nt
Filed under: metagenome
Description: bacterial LSU rRNA
Rfam family: Bacterial large subunit ribosomal RNA
Source: RNAcentral